AGAGUUUGAUCCUGGCUCAGGACGAACGCUGGCGGCGUGCUUAACACAUGCAAGUCGAACGGAAAGGCCCUUUCGGGGGUACUCGAGUGGCGAACGGGUGAGUAACACGUGGGUGAUCUGCCCUGCACUUUGGGAUAAGCCUGGGAAACUGGGUCUAAUACCGGAUAGGACUACGCGAUGCAUGUCGUGUGGUGGAAAGCUUUUGCGGUGUGGGAUGGGCCCGCGGCCUAUCAGCUUGUUGGUGGGGUGAUGGCCUACCAAGGCGACGACGGGUAGCCGGCCUGAGAGGGUGACCGGCCACACUGGGACUGAGAUACGGCCCAGACUCCUACGGGAGGCAGCAGUGGGGAAUAUUGCACAAUGGGCGCAAGCCUGAUGCAGCGACGCCGCGUGAGGGAUGACGGCCUUCGGGUUGUAAACCUCUUUCAGUGCCGACGAAGCGCAAGUGACGGUAGGCAUAGAAGAAGGACCGGCCAACUACGUGCCAGCAGCCGCGGUAAUACGUAGGGUCCGAGCGUUGUCCGGAAUUACUGGGCGUAAAGAGCUCGUAGGUGGUUUGUCGCGUUGUUCGUGAAAACUCACAGCUCAACUGUGGGCGUGCGGGCGAUACGGGCAGACUUGAGUACUGCAGGGGAGACUGGAAUUCCUGGUGUAGCGGUGGAAUGCGCAGAUAUCAGGAGGAACACCGGUGGGGAAGGCGGGUCUCUGGGCAGUAACUGACGCUGAGGAGCGAAAGCGUGGGGAGCGAACAGGAUUAGAUACCCUGGUAGUCC
RNAcentral lists this ribosomal RNA (773 nucleotides) under uncultured bacterium. RNAcentral describes it as "bacterial SSU rRNA". It matches the Rfam family "Bacterial small subunit ribosomal RNA", at positions 8 to 796 of the family's 1533-position model. The record is from RNAcentral.